UACGUAGGCGGCAAGCGUUGUCCGGAAUUAUUGGGCGUAAAGCGCGCGCAGGCGGCUCCUUAAGUCUGAUGUGAAAGCCCACGGCUCAACCGUGGAGGGUCAUUGGAAACUGGGGAACUUGAAGACAGAAGAGGAGAGCGGAAUUCCACGUGUAGCGGUGAAAUGCGUAGAUAUGUGGAGGAACACCAGUGGCGAAGGCGGCUCUCUGGUCUGUGCUUGACGCUGAGGCGCGAAAGCGUGGGGAGCGAAC
This 250-nucleotide ribosomal RNA is filed under the name uncultured prokaryote. RNAcentral's name for it is "partial 16S ribosomal RNA". It matches the Rfam family "Bacterial small subunit ribosomal RNA", at positions 524 to 773 of the family's 1533-position model. The record is from RNAcentral.